Molecule: ribosomal RNA, 280 nt
Filed under: uncultured Eubacteriales bacterium
Lineage: Bacteria; Bacillati; Bacillota; Clostridia; Eubacteriales
Also listed under: 1 other name
Description: uncultured Clostridiales bacterium partial 16S ribosomal RNA
Rfam family: Bacterial small subunit ribosomal RNA
Source: RNAcentral
UUUGAUGAAGUUUUCGGAUGGAUUUAAAACAGCUUAGUGGCGGACGGGUGAGUAACGCGUGGGUAACCUGCCUCAAAGAGGGGGAUAACAGUUGGAAACGGCUGCUAAUACCGCAUAAGCGCACGGUAUCGCAUGAUACAGUGUGAAAAACUCCGGUGGUAUAAGAUGGACCCGCGUCUGAUUAGCUUGUUGGUGAGGUAACGGCCCACCAAGGCGACGAUCAGUAGCCGGUCUGAGAGGAUGAACGGCCACACUGGAACUGAGACACGGUCCAGACUCC